GACGAACGCUGGCGGCGUGCUUAACACAUGCAAGUCGAACGGAAAGGCCCUGCUUUUGUGGGGUGCUCGAGUGGCGAACGGGUGAGUAACACGUGAGUAACCUGCCCUUGACUUUGGGAUAACUUCAGGAAACUGGGGCUAAUACCGGAUAGGAGCUCCUGCUGCAUGGUGGGGGUUGGAAAGUUUCGGCGGUUGGGGAUGGACUCGCGGCUUAUCAGCUUGUUGGUGGGGUAGUGGCUUACCAAGGCUUUGACGGGUAGCCGGCCUGAGAGGGUGACCGGCCACAUUGGGACUGAGAUACGGCCCAGACUCCUACGGGAGGCAGCAGUGGAGAAUAUUGCAGAGUGGGCGGAAGCCUGAUGCAGCAGCGCCGCGUGCGGGAUGACGGCCUUCGGGUGGUAAACCGCUUUCGCCGGUGACGAAGCGUGAGUGACGGUAAUGGGUAAAGAAGCACCGGCUAACUACGUG
This 468-nucleotide ribosomal RNA is filed under the name uncultured bacterium. RNAcentral's name for it is "partial 16S ribosomal RNA". It matches the Rfam family "Bacterial small subunit ribosomal RNA", at positions 28 to 507 of the family's 1533-position model. The record is from RNAcentral.